AAGGUGAGAGGAUAUUUCAUAUCCGUAAAGUACUUAGAGCAGUGUCUGCCCUUUAGCAGGCGUUAGUAGUGGUUGAUUAAAGAAAUGGCUAAAUGCAUACCUAACUAUUCAAGGCUGGGAGGCUGUCCCUGGUGAAACGUGUGAACUUGAAUGGAUUACACCCAACUUUGUUUUUGUUUUGUUUCCUUUCCGGCUUGCAGUUGCUACUGACCGCAUCUGCAGCACUGUGGAAUUAGAAAUAAUCUCCCUGGACUUGGCUGCUCUUGGUAAAACAAUCUAAUGCUGUCCAAAUUAUCCCAGGGAAAUAAAAGCCUUUUCAGUAGCAUAGUAGGGUUAGGCUUAUUUAAUAUGUAUUGUUUAUAUUGGUUUGUUUAGUGUUUGUUGGUAACUUUGUGUUUUUUCUUUCUUUUUUUUUUUGGCAAAGCUGCUCGGUUAAAAAAAGCAGAUUAGCUAGGAAAUGGUUCAGACCCAGAGAAAAGUAGAGAGUCGUGUAAGCAGAGCACGCCUUUCCUUGACUCUCUGUCGAGAGCUUUUGUGAUUCCAGCUGCUCUCUGCCUCAGACACGGUGCCCUCUGCGUGUGCAGUCAUCUAAACAGUGCAGGGUCUGGGACCGUGGAGAAUCCAAGGCAGUAUAGUCAUGCUUUGCUUAACGGUGGGGAUAAGUUCUGAGGAGUGUGUCAUGGUCAGGCAAUCUCGAGACUGUGCCGACACCACGGAGUUCCUAAACCUGGAUGGCAGAGCCUCCUACACACCUAGGCCAUGUGGGACUAAUCUGAUGGGACCCCCGUUGUUGACUGAAACGUCCCGAUGUAGGGCAUGACUGUACUUCCCAACUCCAAGGGCACGGAAGUGUAGCCUGUGGGGCUUUGGAAAAGAACAGAGACGCUCAAGGCCUACUCUGGACCCACUGACUCAGAAUCUACUGGGAUAGUUCCCGGCUUUAAAGACCAGACGUAGUCCGCCUCUGCAGACAUCUCAUCAACGGUUUUUCACGCUGGGCUUUCCCUCAUCUGAGAAAACAGGCCAAGAGAUUGUGAGGCUCCAUAGUUAGUGUUUUAAUACAUUUGGCGGGACUCAGUGUUUUUCACGUUCUGUGAUACUGGGAUCUGCAUCUGCACUGUAAUGUGUUAAACCUUGAAAUCUUGUCCUUCCUAAACCUGGAUGGCAGAGCCUCCUACACACCUAGGCCAUGUGGGACUAAUCUGAUGGGACCCCCGUUGUUGACUGAAACGUCCCGAUGUAGGGCAUGACUGUACUUCCCAACUCCAAGGGCACGGAAGUGUAGCCUGUGGGGCUUUGGAAAAGAACAGAGACGCUCAAGGCCUACUCUGGACCCACUGACUCAGAAUCUACUGGGAUAGUUCCCGGCUUUAAAGACCAGACGUAGUCCGCCUCUGCAGACAUCUCAUCAACGGUUUUUCACGCUGGGCUUUCCCUCAUCUGAGAAAACAGGCCAAGAGAUUGUGAGGCUCCAUAGUUAGUGUUUUAAUACAUUUGGCGGGACUCAGUGUUUUUCACGUUCUGUGAUACUGGGAUCUGCAUCUGCACUGUAAUGUGUUAAACCUUGAAAUCUUGUCCAAAAGUCAUGUCAUUACCUAGAGAAUCCUUCUGUGAAUUCCAGGCAGAUUGCCAUCUUUCUGCUUCCGCCUCCUCACCUUGACAAUGGGGAGAAUAACGGUAACCUACCUUUUGGAUGUGAGGAUUAAAUGAGACAGUUGGUGCAAAGCAGUCGGCACAGGAUCUGGCACAAAGUGCAGCCUUCAAUCAAUUAUGAUGACAGUAGUUUUGAUUUCCCUCCAGUCGGAAUAUAGUUGAGUUGAAGUUAGUGGCUGUGUCACAGCUGUGUCUCAGGCUGGUGUCUGCCGCCCUGAGCUAAGCCAUAAAAUUCCCUGGAAUAACUUUUCAAAAGCCUGUUAGCCUCUUGAGGCUCCUACACUUUUUUAUUUUAUUUUAUUUUAUUUUAUUUUAUUGCAGUAACAGUGGAUCCUAAGAUGAUAUAGCUUUCAGAUGUACGUUGUAAUAUAUUUUGAAUUCUGUGUAGAUUACAUCGUGUUCACCACCCGAAAACUAAUGAUAGUCCGUCACCUCACAUGUGAGCCUCAUCGCCCCUUUGGCUCUCUCCCCUCCCCCCUCCCCUAUGGUAACCACCAAUGCAAUCUCCUUUGCUCUGUGCGCGUUUGUCGUUGUUUUUAUCUUCUCCUUAUGAGUGAGAUCACACGGUGUUUGACUUUGUCCCUCUGAUUUAUUUCACUUCACAUAAUACCCUCAAGGUCCAUCGAAGUUGUCACAAAUGGGCGGAUCUCAUCAUUUCUUAGGGCCGAGUGGCAUUCCAUUGUGUAUACAUACCACAUCUUCUUUAUCCAUUCUUCCCUUGAUGGGCACCUAGGUUGCUUCCAAGUUUUGGCUGUUGUGAAUAAUGCUGCAGUGAACCCAGGGGUGCAUGUGUCUUUCUGCAUUGGUGUUUUCAAGUUCUUUGGAUGAAUAGCCAGCAGUGGGCUAGCUGGAUCUACAUAUGGUAGAUGUGUUCUUAGUUUUCUGAGGAUACUCCAUACUGCUUUCCAUAGUGGCUGCACCAGUCUGCCCUCCCACCAGCAGUGCAGGAGAGUUCCCUUCUCUGCACAUCCUCUCCGACACUUGUCUCUUGUCUUGUUAAUUAGAGCCAUUCUGACCAGAGUAAGGUGACAUCUCCUUGUAGUUGUGAUUUGCAUUUCUCUGAUCGCUAAGGAUGUUGAGUCCCUUUCCAUAUGCCUGUUGGCCAUCCGUAUACCUUCUUUGGAGAAAUCACUGCUCAGAUCUUUUGCCCGCCUUUUCAAUUGGGUUGUUGAUUUUUUUUGCUGUUGAGAUGUAUGAGUUCUUUCUGUGUUUUGGAUAUUAACCCCUUAUCCGAUAUACGGUUUGCAAGAAUCUUCUCCCAGUUGUUAGGUUGUGUUUUGGUUUUGUGGAUGGUUUCCUUUGCGGUGCAGAGGAUGUUUUUUGACUUUGAUGUAGUCCCGUUUGUUCAUUUUGUAUUUUGUUUCCCUUGCCCAGUCAGACGUGGUACUUGAAAAUAGGCUGCUAAGACUGAUGUCAAAGAGCACACUGCCUAUGUUUGCUUGUAGACGUUGCAUGGUUUCGGGUCUGACAUUCAAGUGAAAGCCGAGGGAGGAGGCUGCAGUUCCCCGAGAGCGAGCGUAGCGGGGACCCUGCGUCCCUGUCAGCGCACCUUCCCGCUGCGCGAAGGUCCGAAGCGUGUGGGCGGGGCCGCAGGAGUUCUCCCAGGAGGGUGUCCCCGUCGCUGUCCGCAGUCCACCGCCGGAGGGGGGGGCGGGGCAACGGCCGGGCAGCGUCUGGGCGGCGGCGCGCGCGCGCGAGGAGAGGAGAGGAGAGGAGCGCGCGGCUGCUGGGCCGCCGUCCUGGGAGGCGUGGGAGGCGUCGGCGAGCCGCGCCUGCCUGCCCAGAGCCGAGCCCGGCGGAGUCCGGCCGCGCUGUGCUGCUCUCUCCCGGGCCGGGCUCGUCCGUUCCCCCGGCGUCCGUGGACGCCGCUCCGCGUCCCCGCUGGGCACAGCAGCCCGGGCCCUCCACAGCCACGGCCGCUAGCCUGAGGAGGCCGUCCUUCAGCUCCCGCUCUUCCUGCUCGCCGGACACGGAGGACCAGGGCGCCUGCGAAGAGGAUUCCAUCUGAGAGAGGUACCUGGGGGGCGUGGGCCUGGGGGCUGGUGGGAGGCGAGCGUGUCCCGAGGAAUAGGCUUGUGCGCCGAGAGGUGCCCGUCAGGUCGCGGGACAGCUGUGCGGCGCGGGGAGCGAGGGGGUCUCUUCGUGCGCUUGAGGCGUUCGUGGAACGGGCGGUGUGUGCCGGGCACGGGGCCAGCCUGGGCGUGCGGUGCCCGGGAGUCGGGCGCUGAAGCGCCACCCGUGGUCUCGGCUUCUUGGAAGGACAGACGCGAAGUCGAUAAGGACACUGGUCUCGAGGCGUUCUGAGGAGUGCGGGUCUCCCUCUUUUCGAGGCUACGUUCCGUUGGGGUUUUCACGAAGCCUGUUGUGGGCCUGAAGCUCAGGCCGGUUCAGGGGAAGUGGCCUGUCGAGGGCCACGUAAUAUUUGUGUGCAGAGGCCAGUGCUUUCCAAAGCCCUUGACUGUGCAGAAGUCUACCUGUUAGGGGUGCAGUGGGGGCUGUCCGGGGAGCGUUGUGAGCACAGGUAUGUGCCCCACACUUGAAAGUCUGGAAAGAAAGCCGUGAGGCUGGAGGGUGCUCCGUUCGUUCCCUCCUUGCACAGAAAGUCUGGAGAGUUGACUUUGGGACAAGUCCUUCCUUUCCUCUGGUCGGUGCGUGUUCGGUGGCCUGGACACUUGGUGAGCAAGACUGACAGGGUGUUUGACGUACUGGACCUCACAGCCUGGUUGGAAAGGACAGACAGGCAGCAACCAAUUACCUAGGAGAUACGUAAAGGCACUUUCGUGUUGAGUGUUGAGAAAUACGGCAUUUUACUGUUAGACUUUGUGACUUAGGCAGUGAUGUUGAAGCUGAGAGCAGAGGCCUAAAAGACAAGGAGGACUUGUGCGGGAGAGUGUUGGGACAGGGCAAGGGAGGAGGAUGGCCUGUCAGAGGAGCUGAAAGAAUGCCCUGGAGACUGGGGCCGCCGCGUAGGGACUGUAGGGUGGGGAAGACAAAACUUUUCCAUUGAGGCUGGCGCUUUCUCUAGGUUUUUGGAGACUAAGCGUGGUGAUUCAGAACGUGGCCUCUGGAGCCAGACUCUGUCAAAUGGGUCCUGGCUCUGCCACCUACGGGCUGUGUGAACUUGGGCAAGUUACUGUGCCAUUCUGUGUGUCAGUUUCCUGAUCUGUAAAACGGGGAUGGUUAUCAUACACACUCCAUAGGUGAGUGUAAAGGUGAGAGGAUAUUUCAUAUCCGUAGAGUACUUAGAGCAGUGUCUGGCCUUAGUAGGCGUUAGUAGUGAUUGA
Molecule: long non-coding RNA, 4937 nt
Organism: Equus caballus (horse)
Lineage: Eukaryota; Metazoa; Chordata; Mammalia; Perissodactyla; Equidae
Source: Ensembl